CCUCUUGCAAAUCAAUGAAUAAUAGGUCCCGCCUGCCCUGUGACUAUAUGUUUAACGGCCGCGGUAUUUUGACCGUGCGAAGGUAGCGCAAUCACUUGUCUUUUAAAUGGAGACCUGUAUGAAUGGCAUCACGAGGGCUUAACUGUCUCCCCCUCCCAGUCAAUGAAAUUGAUCUCUCCGUGCAGAAGCGGGGAUAAAAACAUAAGACGAGAAGACCCUAUGGAGCUUUAGACGUCAGAGCAGCCCAUGUUAAACACCCCCAAACAAGGGGAAAAACCAAAUGAAGCCUGCCCUAAUGUCUUUGGUUGGGGCGACCGUGGGGAAAUACAAAACCCCCAUGUGGAGUAGGAACACGUUUUCCUAAACUCAAGAGCUCCCGCUCUAACGAACAGAAAUUCUGACCAAUAAGAUCCGGCACAUGCCGAUCAACGGACCGAGUUACCCUAGGGAUAACAGCGCAAUCCCCUUAAAGAGCCCUUAUCGACAAGGGGGUUUACGACCUCGAUGUUGGAUCAGGACAUCCUAAUGGUGCAGCCGCUAUUAAGGGUUCGUUUGUUCAACGAUUAAAGUCCU
Molecule: ribosomal RNA, 573 nt
Filed under: Argyrozona argyrozona
Lineage: Eukaryota; Metazoa; Chordata; Actinopteri; Spariformes; Sparidae
Description: partial 16S ribosomal RNA
Rfam family: Bacterial large subunit ribosomal RNA
Source: RNAcentral